CAAAGACCAGCAAGGCGGAGAGAGAACGGAUUCCCUUCGCCUGGAGUCGACAGCUGUGGGGCUGGGAACCAGGGGCAGGCCUGACCAGCCGGUACCUGGCCAGGAUUGGACCCAAGACUCUCCAUAUGCUACAUUGACACCCGAUCCGUCUCUAGCCCUUUGUGUAUCCAGAGCUGUGAGCUGCCCGGAAGCCGUGGAGCCCUCCCUGCAACCUGGCCAAUUUCAAGGUAACUGAAUUUCACAGCAACACUAGCC
This is a long non-coding RNA of Microtus oregoni (creeping vole), 255 nucleotides long. RefSeq lists it as uncharacterized. NCBI's taxonomy places the organism in Eukaryota, Metazoa, Chordata, Mammalia, Rodentia, Cricetidae. The record is from RefSeq and is a predicted model, not a curated record. The transcript is spliced from 3 exons.